CUCAGGCUCGUUCUGAUUUUAGCUUGCAGCCUGGGCUCCGGUGAUGUGAGGAGAAUCAGGCAGCGAGAUUACGUUAUCAGCCGAAGGAGGAGGCAGUUCGAGUAAAACAGGACCCAGUCUGAACCUUCGUCCCCUCGCACCAAAGCCACCUCUGCUUGGCCUCAAAUAAGACCAAAUUUACCGAAGCUUUGGGGGAGAGCCAGAAUGGGAGCCCGGGUCCCCCGGGUGUCUCACUUCUGCAGGAGGCGGGGCCUUGUGACGGAGCUCGCGCUGAGCAGAGCUUCUAAGGUUGUUUAACCUCUACCGUGCAGAAACGUGGGAAGCUGCCUGGCUUUGAUUCCAGCCUCUGCCUUCCUCACUGUGUGACCUUGACUGAAUUACCCAGCCUUUCUGAGUGUCUCCUAUCUCACGGCAAGAUGUCAAGGGGAAGAUUUAGCCACCACCCAGCCCCUCUCCAGCUUGGUGGCCCCAGGCCUGCUGUGAGUGGGGCGGGAAAGAGGAAGAGAGGAAGAGAUUCUCAUAGCGACUCCUCUUACUGUGCAAAGGCCCGCUCCUGGUCAAGUUCAUGCCCAGCACUUUGGUUUUUUAUCUGUUUGCUUACCGCUUCCUGGGUCAAAACAAAAGUAAAAUGCUGCGGGUCUUGUGGUCGCUCUACGACAUUUCUGUCGUUUCUUCAGGAGUGCACGCUUGACUUGACCAAGCUCAGCAGGAGGAAUUGUCUUGUAGAAGCUCAGUCUGGACCCGGGGACAGGGCUUCUGGACCCAUCAUUCCGAUGAAAACAACCCAAGUAUCCACAGGGAUUUUCACCGGCGCAUCGCUAAGAGCUUUACAAGUAACAGCGAAUCUUCACAGAAGCCUUCACAGACUGGCAGGCAGGUAG
This 881-nucleotide long non-coding RNA is filed under the name Felis catus (domestic cat). RNAcentral describes it as "lncRNA (ENSFCAG00000050196.1)". The record is from RNAcentral. Lineage: Eukaryota; Metazoa; Chordata; Mammalia; Carnivora; Felidae.